ACCAGCUGGGGAUCUGCCAUCAGUUCAGCCCCGAUGUUCUGUUCACUACAUGCUUCUUCAAGGGCUCUUUUCUUUAGGAAAAGUUAUAGUUUAUAGUCUUUUCUGCUGUAAGAUUCUACACAGACCAAGCAAAGGACAUCCUCUGAGCCAUACACUUCUACUGGGGCUAGAGGAGGAUCUGUCAUGUUUACUUCCAUCACUGCUAAUAACAUUUCUGUCAAGAAUUCUGCUGAAUCCUACCUGAUCAACACUGCACAUCUCUCCAGCUUGUAAUCUCACUGAGAAAAUAGAGCAAACACGCCUCGGCUGUAUUGCUGUGGGGUCUCUCUACACAGACGAAACAGGAUGUUUACAUGGGCGCUUGGAGUUAAAAACACAAUCAUCUCCUUCCAGAACAUCAUUAUGUAGACUUUAUUCAAACAAAACUGUUACAUUAUUGAAAGAAAAACAUUUUAUGGACAGAAAAUAUUAUCUGGCAUUUUGGAAACGUGGAAAAUGUUUGCUGCGUCUAAUAGAUUCAUUCCAGACUCUUAUCUUUUUUAAUAAUAUUGGCUCAUCAGUGGCCCAGAUGGAAGAAUCUGUUCAUUCAUUCAUCUUUAGCAAAAACCUAUCCUGAUCAUUCUGAAUCCAGAGGCUGAUCUGAAUGUUUUUUAGAACUCUAAACAGACAGAGGAACCUGAAUUUCGGAUCUGACUUGGGACUCUGAAGCUAUGAGGC
Long non-coding RNA from Hemibagrus wyckioides, 717 nucleotides. RefSeq lists it as uncharacterized. The transcript has 3 exons. The record is from RefSeq and is a predicted model, not a curated record. Lineage: Eukaryota; Metazoa; Chordata; Actinopteri; Siluriformes; Bagridae.